Molecule: long non-coding RNA, 963 nt
Organism: Portunus trituberculatus (swimming crab)
Lineage: Eukaryota; Metazoa; Arthropoda; Malacostraca; Decapoda; Portunidae
Exons: 4
Source: RefSeq, a predicted model, not a curated record
CUGCCACAGGUCCACAGCUGUGAUGGCGUCGGUACCUCCCGCCAAGACACACGGUUGGCUGCACUGGAGUGCCGUUAUAUUUUCAGCCUGUAUAGAGGUGACAGUGCCGUGAGAGAGGUGGUGGAGGUUAUUAAUGCACCAAGGAACAGGUGUGUAAGGAUGGCAGUGGUGUUGAUAAGGGAUUAGUGUGUAAGGAGGGAAAGAAGGGUGGUGGCCGAGUGCAUGUCAACAGUGGUGAUGGCCGUGUGGUGUUUGGUGUUGCUUAUACACCCCAUGAACACACUCAAACACAUCCACAACAUGUCCAUAUACACCCAAACACCCCGCAACACAUCCACAACAUGCCCAUAUACACCCAAACACCCACAAGGUGAAGUGAUGACAUUCCCGACAGCACCAGCGGCGAGACAAGAGAGCAAUGCAAAUCUUCACCUCAACGCUUCACCAUCAAUUUUAUUUCAGGCUCAGGCGUGUAGAUGGAAGCAGUAGAAGAAAGAAGAAAAUGAGGAGAACGAAGAAGAAUGGAAAAAUGGAAGUGGAAGAAGAGGAGCCAAGCCACAAUAUUUAGUCUUGUAUAAUUUCAUGGUAUGAUGGAUGCGGCUGAGGUGGGCCUCUGCUGUGACCAGGCAUUUCAGCCUUGCUGUCAACCCUCCAUGUGAUGAGUGAGUUGCCCGUUGAGCUGGAGUGUCCUGAUAUUGGGGGCUCGUCUGGUAUUGUAGACAACCAUCCGUCUAACCUUUUCGUGAAGAGGUCCGGUGUGACCCGUCAGGUUCCUGAUGGUGUCCAGCACAGCGUUGAAGAGGUCCACAGAAAAUGACGCGCCGAUUUAUUUGAAGUCAAGGAUGGAGAUUAGAAUGGCCUUGAAAAACACCACACCCGUUUUGUCCACCGCCAUCACCACCUUCUCCCAGAUCAAGGACAUAACAUAACAUAACAUAACAUAAAUAAUAGGAUAACAAAGGG